ACUCCCCCAUCCCACGCCCACAGGAGGCAGUAGCCCUGUCCCUGCCAUCCCCCAGGUCCGGAGGAAGGAGACCUUGCUGAAGCAGACUUUCAAGAGGGUUCUGUGAAAAUAAACGAGGCUGCUGAUUGGAAUAGAGUCUGAUGCUGAGGGAGGCGGCAGAUGACCUUGGCCUCUCCUUUCCCAAAAGACUUUGUAAAUGUUCUCUUCAGGGAAGCCAUACUUCUCAGAGAUCUGGAAGAGAGCAGUAGGGGGUUUGUUAUCUGCUGCCCAAACUGGAUCCUUUCCAGCCUUUUAUACUCUGACUUCUAUUUCCUGGUUAUAAAAGUAAUAUACAUCCCUACUGUGGAAAAAUGCGAAGAAGAAGGUUA
Long non-coding RNA from Lutra lutra (Eurasian river otter), 368 nucleotides. RefSeq lists it as uncharacterized. NCBI's taxonomy places the organism in Eukaryota, Metazoa, Chordata, Mammalia, Carnivora, Mustelidae. The record is from RefSeq and is a predicted model, not a curated record. The transcript has 3 exons.